AACCCCAGAGUCUGGAAUUUGCUGAUUCAUCUGGGAAGCCAAGGACAGGUUAAGGGCACCCAGUCUGGGGACAGGAGGGGACAACCUGGCCUGCAGUUUCAUGGGCACUCUGAUCCUGAGGAUGGCCUCCUCUCUGCCUCUCUAGGUUCUGACCUUGCAGUGACUAAGCACCAUGCAGGGAGCUGGGAACCACACCCUCCACCUGCUCCUGCCAGUCCCUGUGGGGCUCCCUUUCCAAGGCCAGGCCUUCUCUCCCCCCUACCCCCAGGUUCCUCAUUGGUCACCUCAAGGAGCUGUUUCAACCUGGCACCUGGCACCUUGGGGUGUUAUUCAUAAUUGCAUUGUUACAACUGCCCGCAGCAUGGUAAAACUGGCCCGGGACUCUGCCAAGCGAGAGACCAUGCUCCUGCCCAAGGCGAGUGCCCCCUCCUCCCAGGAAGGAGAAUCGCUCUCCAUGCCUGCCUCUGUGUCCAGUGCUGCCCUGGGCACCAGAGGCACAGACAAGGGUGCCCUCAGGGAGCUCACAUUCAAUGGGAGACGCGAGAAACAAGGAAAUUCACGGAUGCCAGAAGAUGAUGUGUCCUUUGGAGAACACAGGCAUGAGGGGGACAUUCCCUUCUCACCAAAGCCCUGUGACAGAACACUUUGUGACCAGGUGUUGAAUGCUGUGAGGGCAAACAGCAAGGGAUCCAGUCCUGCAGGAAGCAGGGACUCAGGUGUGUCCUGAUGGUGGUGUGUUCCAGAGCAGUGGGGACUCAGUGUGUGGCCAGAGCCGGAAGCCCGUGGAGUUACCGGCUGGACAGAGUUGUGACUCAGGCAGAAGCAGGUUGAGGGAUGGAAGUUUCCACCGUGAAGAUCCUCCUCAGCUCCAACCCACGUGCCUCAAGCCGGUGGAAACUGAAGCAGUCAGAAGCUGGAGAGCACAUUUCCGAGGAAGUGUGUCCACUGCCACCUGACCAAGUCACUCAGGGUCAUCCUGAGAGCCAAGGAGAAGGGGUCCAGGGAGCUGACCAACUGACCUCUCUCUCACAUGUGGCACCCAAGCUGGGUGAAGGGAGCAGGAACUGCUCAAGAUGGCAGAGAGGUUAAAACUAAACAAACCCGCAAAUCCACCCAGCACACAGGGAGGUGCCUGAGUUAGAACACUGGCAGCUCACCUUAAAAAAAAAAAAAAACUGCCUGGAGGGAUUGUACUGAUCUGUGUAUUCAGCUGCCCCCUCCCACAUACUGUCAGUGCCUCCAAGGCAGAGAGAUAGUAUCUUGUUCAUCCUGUGUGUCCAAGGGCCAGUGCCCAGCCCUGUUUAAGACCUGGAUGUAAAUGUCUGAGGAAGGAGGGCUUUUCAUAGUUCCAUGCCAGGCCUCUGUGUUACUGCCGCAGCCACUGCGCCCAACAACUAGCAGCUGACCCCUUACAAACUGAUCUCUUUUGUUUCGCAGACAAACAUCUGGCAAUCCCAUAAAGCAGGUUUUGCCAUUACUACUAUUAUCUCCAUUGAACAAAUGAGGAAAGUGGUCUUGCAUCUACCAUUUCUUAUUUUGUGGUGUGUAUGUGGCCGAAUCAUGUCAUUUCUUUGGGUUUGUCACUGGCAAAAUGGGAGCCAUGGU
Marmota flaviventris (yellow-bellied marmot) is the source of this 1605-nucleotide non-coding RNA. NCBI's taxonomy places the organism in Eukaryota, Metazoa, Chordata, Mammalia, Rodentia, Sciuridae. The record is from RefSeq and is a predicted model, not a curated record.